AUGCUCAGUUCAGCAGCACAUAUACUAAAAUUGGAAUGAUAUGGAGAAGAUUAGCAUAGCCCCUAUGCAAGGAUGACACACACAUUUGUAAAGCAUUCCAUGUUUUU
RNAcentral lists this small nuclear RNA (107 nucleotides) under Carlito syrichta (Philippine tarsier). Lineage: Eukaryota; Metazoa; Chordata; Mammalia; Primates; Tarsiidae. The record is from RNAcentral.